GGUAAAAUUGAAUUGGUUCAGGAUUAAAGUUCUUUCGGAUUACAAAAAAUUUUUAUUAGAAUUAAACUUUGAGCUUGAAUUGAAAAUGAAAUUGAAACUUUUUUCGAUCAAGAGUUCUAAUGAAUUUGAAACAAAAUCCUUAUAAAUUUAGCACCAUAGCUUCAUGAAGAGGGAGGAGUCUCUGAUAAGCCAAAUCCUGCAACAAUUUUCACCACCAUUGUCCACUAAUAAAUACCCAAACACAAUAAUAGAAACAUAACGCAAUCGGCCAAAGAAUCCACCAUUUGCAAAUCCCACAUUAACAGAACCAUCACCAAUACCAUUACUGGACCACCAUCCACACCAUAGCCGCAACCCAAAAGCAACCAUAAUCCUUGCCACAACCCAUAAACCCAGAAAAUCAAGAAGCCACCUAAACUGCUUUGUCUCACCACCAUGCGAAUCACCAUCACUAGCAACUAAAAACCCAACCUUUCAUCACCGCCAGCCACACAACAAACAAUAGAGGCAGGAAAUCAAUUUCGCACCCUUACCUUUCAACCACCAUCAAACGCAAAAUAUCACCUGCAAAGCAACAAUCUAAAGACCUGCAAUCUCAAUCCAAACAGAUAGCAAGUGAGAUAUCAACAGGCCCAGAAACACAGCAAUCAAAUAUCAAUAAUAACAAAUAAAAAAAAAAGAACUUUGUGUAAAAACCUUUGUUUUGCCAGUGGCAAUGCUAGUGAAGGCUCACGGUGACUUGGGGAUUUUGAGGAUAAAAAAUGGUAGAGGUAUAGAGCGUGGGAAGUACAACAACAUACUAAAAUCUCAGCCAAAUUCGACAAUGGAAGAGGCUGAAACAGGGAAAGAAAAAUCGUGGCUUAAGUUUCAGAUCUACGCCUUUAGGAGCCAAUUUGGAAAAAAUCGACCAAAAAUCCGAGACAAGGAGGUUACAGAGAGCUUUCAGGUGAAAUUUGGGGGCCAGCGGUGGUCUACGGCGACAACCGGUGAUGAUCUACGGUGACGUACAGUGGUCAGAGGAGGCCGAGAUCUAGGAAAACUUGAAGCUAGCCGGUGUCCUAAAGUUCCUAUCAUUUAGUGAGAGAGGCAGAGAAGAAAAUAUUUAGAGAGAGAAGUUCAAAUAAAC
RNAcentral lists this long non-coding RNA (1126 nucleotides) under Durio zibethinus. RNAcentral describes it as "long non-coding RNA (DZIB_LNC001289)". Lineage: Eukaryota; Viridiplantae; Streptophyta; Magnoliopsida; Malvales; Malvaceae. The record is from RNAcentral.